AGAAAACAGAGUAUUUAGAAGUUUAACAGGCCGUCAAACUUGUUUCUCUCCCUGCUUUCUUAAUUACUGCAUUUUCCUUAUUAACUCCUAUACUUGUAUCCGCCCAAACCGCAUUGGUUUGGGCUUUUUUUU
Vibrio splendidus 12B01 is the source of this 132-nucleotide non-coding RNA. The record is from Rfam. NCBI's taxonomy places the organism in Bacteria, Pseudomonadati, Pseudomonadota, Gammaproteobacteria, Vibrionales, Vibrionaceae.